GGCAGUGUGGUUUAGUGGUUAGAAUGUUGGACUAGGCCCUGGGAGACCAGGGUUCAAACCCCUGGUCAGCUG
Molecule: transfer RNA, 72 nt
Filed under: Podarcis lilfordi (Lilford's wall lizard)
Lineage: Eukaryota; Metazoa; Chordata; Lepidosauria; Squamata; Lacertidae
Description: tRNA.Pro
Source: RNAcentral